This 495-nucleotide ribosomal RNA is filed under the name uncultured bacterium. RNAcentral's name for it is "partial 16S ribosomal RNA". It matches the Rfam family "Bacterial small subunit ribosomal RNA", at positions 28 to 507 of the family's 1533-position model. The record is from RNAcentral.
GACGAACGCUGGCGGCGUGCCUAAUACAUGCAAGUAGAACGCUGAAGGAGGAGCUUGCUUCUCUGGAUGAGUUGCGAACGGGUGAGUAACGCGUAGGUAACCUGCCUGGUAGCGGGGGAUAACUAUUGGAAACGAUAGCUAAUACCGCAUAAGAGUAGAUGUUGCAUGACAUUUGCUUAAAAGGUGCAAUUGCAUCACUACCAGAUGGACCUGCGUUGUAUUAGCUAGUUGGUGGGGUAACGGUUCACCAAGGCGACGAUACAUAGCCGACCUGAGAGGGUGAUCGGCCACACUGGGACUGAGACACGGCCCAGACUCCUACGGGAGGCAGCAGUAGGGAAUCUUCGGCAAUGGACGGAAGUCUGACCGAGCAACGCCGCGUGAGUGAAGAAGGUUUUCGGAUCGUAAAGCUCUGUUGUAAGAGAAGAACGAGUGUGAGAGUGGAAAGUUCACACUGUGACGGUAUCUUACCAGAAAGGGACGGCUAACUACGUG